UGUUCUUAGGCUUAAAAAUUAUAAUUUACAUAGCGUCUCAUUGAAAUUUGAUCAAAUUAAUAUUUCUUUCUAAAAUAUUGUUCAAGUUGUGUAAUAAUUUCGUGAAAUCCGAUGAUAUUUGUGCUUUAUCGUCAAUGGUGAAGUUUUUGACGGUUACAUUUUGCAAAGUGUUUACACAAAAAUGGGAGCAAGAACGUGUUUGCUAGAAAUUUUGUGUCAUUUUGAUUACAAAAAUCCGGAAAUACUGCGUGUCAGUUUGAGAAAUUUGUGGCUAAAUUGAUUUUUCUAGAAAUUUUGUAUAUUUUUGGUGACCUUCAGUCGUGUGCUUCGUUUCUUUUUUUUUCUACAACAUUUCUAGCAAUUCUGGAACCGCUUUAUCUUGAGAUUCAGGAUAAAUGAUGAGAUUAAAAGAAAAUAGUCUGUUCAAAAUAAGAAAUUGAAAUUAACCGCAAUUCGGGUGUGAAUAUGGACUAAGUGUUUUUAUGUUUCGCUCUAAAAAAGAUUCAGGACUUCAAUGAGGUGAGGGCUGAAAUGUUUCCAUGGGACCUUUAUCCAGAUUCUGAAGGACAGGAAGGAAGCUAGAAAACACAACAAUG
Molecule: long non-coding RNA, 596 nt
Organism: Belonocnema kinseyi
Lineage: Eukaryota; Metazoa; Arthropoda; Insecta; Hymenoptera; Cynipidae
Exons: 3
Source: RefSeq, a predicted model, not a curated record